AACGAACGCUGGCGGCAUGCCUAACACAUGCAAGUCGAACGAGACCUUCGGGUCUAGUGGCGCACGGGUGCGUAACGCGUGGGAACCUGCCCUUAGGUUCGGAAUAACUCCCCGAAAGGGGUGCUAAUACCGGAUAAUGUCUUCGGACCAAAGAUUUAUCGCCUUUGGAUGGGCCCGCGUUGGAUUAGCUAGUUGGUAGGGUAAAAGCCUACCAAGGCGACGAUCCAUAGCUGGUCUGAGAGGAUGAUCAGCCACACUGGGACUGAGACACGGCCCAGACUCCUACGGGAGGGAGGAGUGGGGAAUAUUGGAAAAUGGGCGAAAGCCUGAACCAGCAAUGCCGCGUGAGUGAUGAAGGCCUUAGGGUUGUAAAGCUCUUUUACCCGGGAUGAUAAUGACAGUACCGGGAGAAUAAGCUCCGGCUAACUCCGUG
Molecule: ribosomal RNA, 433 nt
Filed under: uncultured bacterium
Lineage: Bacteria
Description: partial 16S ribosomal RNA
Rfam family: Bacterial small subunit ribosomal RNA
Source: RNAcentral